AGCAUAUCAAUAAGCGGAGGAAAAGAAACCAACAGGGAUUGCCUUAGUAACGGCGAGUGAAGCGGCAACAGCUCAGAUUUGAAAUCUGGCCUUCGGGUCCGAGUUGUAAUCUGUAGAGGAUGCUUCGGGUGAGGUGCCUUCCGAGUGCCCUGGAACGGGACGCCAGAGAGGGUGAGAGCCCCGUACGGUUGGAUACCAAGCCCAUGUGAAGCUCCUUCGACGAGUCGAGUAGUUUGGGAAUGCUGCUCAAAAUGGGAGGUAAAUUUCUUCUAAAGCUAAAUACCGGCCAGAGACCGAUAGCGCACAAGUAGAGUGAUCGAAAGAUGAAAAGCACUUUGGAAAGAGGGUUAAAAAGUACGUGAAAUUGUUGAAAGGGAAGCGCUUGCGACCAGACUCGCGCCCCGUGGAUCAUCCGGUGUUCUCACCGGUGCACUCCGCGGGUCUCGGGCCAGCAUCGGUUCGCCCAGGGGGAUAAAAGCUCUGGGAAUGUGGCUCUCUUCGGGGAGUGUUAUAGCCCACUGUGGAAUACCCCUGGCGCGGACCGAGGACCGCGCCUUGUGCAAGGAUGCUGGCGUAAUGGUCGUCAGCGACCCGUCU
This 597-nucleotide ribosomal RNA is filed under the name uncultured fungus. RNAcentral's name for it is "eukaryotic LSU rRNA". It matches the Rfam family "Eukaryotic large subunit ribosomal RNA", at positions 37 to 654 of the family's 3401-position model. The record is from RNAcentral. Lineage: Eukaryota; Fungi.